RNAcentral lists this ribosomal RNA (253 nucleotides) under uncultured bacterium. RNAcentral describes it as "partial 16S ribosomal RNA". It matches the Rfam family "Bacterial small subunit ribosomal RNA", at positions 524 to 776 of the family's 1533-position model. The record is from RNAcentral.
UACGAAGGGGGCGAGCGUUGUUCGGAUUUACUGGGCGUAAAGGGCGCGUAGGCGGCCUUGUCAGUCAGGCGUGAAAGCCCCGGGCUCAACCUGGGAACGGCGCUUGGGACGGCGAGGCUGGAGUUCGGGAGAGGAGAGUGGAAUUCCCAGUGUAGAGGUGAAAUUCGUAGAUAUUGGGAGGAACACCAGUGGCGAAGGCGGCUCACUGGCUCGACACUGACGCUGAGGUGCGAAAGCGUGGGGAGCAAACAGG